This 104-nucleotide small nuclear RNA is filed under the name Tursiops truncatus (common bottlenose dolphin). The record is from RNAcentral. RNAcentral also lists the same sequence under 1 other name. Lineage: Eukaryota; Metazoa; Chordata; Mammalia; Artiodactyla; Delphinidae.
GUGCUUGCUUCGGCAGCACAUAUACUAAAAUUGGAACGAUACAGAGAUUAGCAUGGCCCCUGCACAAGGAUGACACGCAAAUUCGUGAAGCGUUUCAUAUUUUU